RNAcentral lists this transfer RNA (73 nucleotides) under Camelus ferus (Wild Bactrian camel). It matches the Rfam family "tRNA". From Rfam's summary of the family: Transfer RNA (tRNA) molecules are approximately 80 nucleotides in length. Their secondary structure includes four short double-helical elements and three loops (D, anti-codon, and T loops). Lineage: Eukaryota; Metazoa; Chordata; Mammalia; Artiodactyla; Camelidae. The record is from Rfam by way of RNAcentral.
GAGGGUAUAGCUCAAGUGGUAGAGCAUUUGACUAGCAUGCAUGAGGUCCUGGGUUCAGUACCCAGCACCUCUU